GCCGGCAGCCAUAUCACCCUGUAGCCCAAGACUGGUUGCCCACUGAAGCUAAGCAGGGCUGAGCCUGGUCAGUACCUGGAUGGGAGACCUCCUGGGAAAACUAGGUGGCUGCUGGAA
Sinocyclocheilus grahami is the source of this 117-nucleotide ribosomal RNA. NCBI's taxonomy places the organism in Eukaryota, Metazoa, Chordata, Actinopteri, Cypriniformes, Cyprinidae. The record is from Ensembl.